Molecule: small nucleolar RNA, 90 nt
Organism: Cornus florida
Lineage: Eukaryota; Viridiplantae; Streptophyta; Magnoliopsida; Cornales; Cornaceae
Source: RefSeq, a predicted model, not a curated record
UGGCCAUGAUUAUAUUUUAUCCGCGCUUUUGAAAGCAAUUUAUGAAGCAUAAGAGGAAAAAAAUUUGGUUGAAUUUCUUGAUAUGAGCCA